UUUUUUCUUUUUGCGUUUCUCAUAUGGUAUCUGGUAUCCGGUAUCCGUAUUGGGGUCCCACUAAAUUUGGAAUCGAGCCGGGGUUCCCACAUUGGGGGGCAAAGAGCUAUAUAACAAAGGCAACUCCAUAUUCAGGAGACUCGAACCCGAGACUCUAGUCAAAGAUGACAGUGUACUUGCCGCGAACCACAACCCUUGUUGGUUAUUGUGUACAAUUACUGGUUUCACUUCUCAUGUUGGACAGCGUGGAACUGUUAUGUUAUUGUUGAUUUUUGGACUAUUGGUAGUGUAAAUAAUACAAGUACUAUCUAGGGAAAAUGAGUUUAGAAGAACAUUGAAGUCUUCAAUUAAAAAAAAGGGACAUGUGGGUCCCCUUUUUUUCUUUUCUUUUCCCCCGCUUAAACACUAAUGAGGGAGAAUGGCUUCAACUUAUAAUAUUCACAACUUUGAGAAAACUUCCACCUCUCGUUCUUCUCCUCUCCUAUAUCGACUUCAAUAACUCCAAAAAAAAAUCCUAUCUUGUUCUUCUCCUCUCUCUGUUCUUUUCUGUGAUUUUGGCUUCAAAAGUUUCACUUUCAAGAUUGUCAUCUUGUCGUAGUAGUAGGUAUUUAGAAGUUGGAAUGCAAAAACAGUUGAAAAUAAGGAAUUUGGAAGACAAGGCACUGCUAUGCACUUGUACGGACUGUCAACAUACCCGACGGUCCGUCAAGCAUGUCGUCAACCUGCCCUGAGAGAAAGUUCAGAGACUGUGCAAAAUUGAUGCAAAAGGACGAGAAGGUUGACGGACCGUCAACAUGAUCGACGGUCCGUCAAUAUACAUUGACGAUUGAGGUUUUGCAGCUUGAUUUUUGUCAUCAGAUCGUCAAAGUGCACCAUUGAUAUUCGACGGUAUCGUCAAUGUGCAAAGACGGUCCGUCGAGUUGCAAGCCGACCUGGGACAGGACUAGUUUAUUUAUUCCAAGUUUUUGACUUGUAUAAAUGCCCGAUUAGGUUUUAUUUUUCAGACAUCUUGAGUUUAAGACUUGUAUUGAGCACUUUGAGUUUUUAGUACUUUUCAAGGGUUUUAAGACUAUUCUAUAUUCGUUUAUCUUCAAUUCUCUUUGUAAGUUCAAACAACAAUUACACUUACUAUGUCUUGCAUUUUUAUCAAUUCCAUGAGUAGCUAAAUUCCCUACUAAGGUUGUGGACUUAA
Long non-coding RNA from Lycium ferocissimum, 1192 nucleotides. RefSeq lists it as uncharacterized. The transcript has 2 exons. The record is from RefSeq and is a predicted model, not a curated record. NCBI's taxonomy places the organism in Eukaryota, Viridiplantae, Streptophyta, Magnoliopsida, Solanales, Solanaceae.